CUAACAGUAAAGGGCAACUCAUUACCAAUAGGGAUGAGCUUUGUAUUUCUCCUUCUGCCGCUGUUAGGAUUAGUUAGCCAAUCGGGAUCACUGUUGUUGCUCUUGUCACAAGAGGAUUACAGCUACACGCGUGGAGACAACUGGCUAUUGAAAAGCUGUCUUAAUUUCUAAAGGAGACAUGGAUGAAAAGAAUUCAACCAGCCAAAGAGAAAAUCUUGCAGAUCAAGUCAUGCAGAAUCCACAAGCUUUGGCAGCUCUUCAAGAACGAUUAGAAAAUGUCUCUCGCACACCUUCCAGUUACAUUGAAAC
Protopterus annectens (West African lungfish) is the source of this 309-nucleotide long non-coding RNA. RefSeq lists it as uncharacterized. NCBI's taxonomy places the organism in Eukaryota, Metazoa, Chordata, Ceratodontiformes, Protopteridae. The record is from RefSeq and is a predicted model, not a curated record. The transcript is spliced from 3 exons.